Molecule: long non-coding RNA, 651 nt
Organism: Musa acuminata AAA Group (dessert banana)
Lineage: Eukaryota; Viridiplantae; Streptophyta; Magnoliopsida; Zingiberales; Musaceae
Exons: 2
Source: RefSeq, a predicted model, not a curated record
UGGCGGCGUGCGCUCGCAUCGGUUGGUUGCUGAGUCAGCUGACCAUGGUCGAAACUUACCCAACCGUCCCCACCGACGAGAUUGGGGCCCCACACCGUUAGCAUCCGUUUCCUCUGAGUGUAAGCGAUGACGCACUCCGGUGGAGUAACCUUAAAGGCGAUUAUUACGCAGAUUGAAAAGACCGACACGGACUGGACCCCCACCAUCAUCCUGGUUCAUAAAACCACCGCCACAACAAGCGCGCCCCAUCCGUAGCCCAAACAGUGUCGAGGUUUUGCCGCUGCUGCUCUUCUUCGGCGAAUCUGCGAGCGGCCGACGAGAGAGAAAAAGGUAGCCGAGAUGAUCGAGCUGUUCGUCCUUGGGUGCACCGGCGUGGUGGUCUUCCUACACGGCGCCAACUUUUUCUUCCGCGCCCUCUCCCACCGUCUCACCGCCCGUUCUCUCAGCUUCCUGGGAGUCGGGUGGUGGUAGGGCUUCGGUCGCAGAAGAAUCCGUGGUGAUUCCUCCUCCAUGCGCCACACGACUCAUGAUCCGAGUCUGUCCAUGAAUUAAUCGACGAAGGCGAAGCAUGUAAUCAUUGUAGAAAGACUCUGACCAACUAUAAUUUGGUGUCUUUAUCGUGAAUGGAGAUCUACUAUUCUACAGUUAAAA